RNAcentral lists this ribosomal RNA (282 nucleotides) under uncultured Bacteroides sp. Its description in RNAcentral is "partial 16S ribosomal RNA". It matches the Rfam family "Bacterial small subunit ribosomal RNA", at positions 65 to 339 of the family's 1533-position model. Lineage: Bacteria; Pseudomonadati; Bacteroidota; Bacteroidia; Bacteroidales; Bacteroidaceae. The record is from RNAcentral.
AGGGGCAGCAUGAACUUAGCUUGCUAAGUUUGAUGGCGACCGGCGCACGGGUGAGUAACACGUAUCCAACCUGCCGAUGACUCGGGGAUAGCCUUUCGAAAGAAAGAUUAAUACCCGAUGGCAUAGUUCUUCCGCAUGGUAGAACUAUUAAAGAAUUUCGGUCAUCGAUGGGGAUGCGUUCCAUUAGGUUGUUGGCGGGGUAACGGCCCACCAAGCCUUCGAUGGAUAGGGGUUCUGAGAGGAUGAACGGCCACAUUGGGACUGAGAUACGGCCCAGACUCC